RNAcentral lists this ribosomal RNA (392 nucleotides) under uncultured bacterium. RNAcentral describes it as "partial 16S ribosomal RNA". It matches the Rfam family "Bacterial small subunit ribosomal RNA", at positions 523 to 918 of the family's 1533-position model. The record is from RNAcentral.
AUACGGAGGAUCCGAGCGUUAUCCGGAUUUAUUGGGUUUAAAGGGUGCGCAGGCGGCCAUUUAAGUCAGCGGUUAAAUCGUGGGGCUCAACCCCAUUCUGCCGUUGAUACUGGGUGGCUUGAUUGCGGUCGAGGUUGGCGGAAUUCGUUGUGUAGCGGUGAAAUGCAUAGAUAUGACGAAGAACACCGAUUGCGUAGGCAGCUGACCAGACCGCAAAUGACGCUCAUGCACGAAAGUGCUGGGAUCGAACAGGAUUAUAUACCCUGGUAGUCCGCACAGUAAACGAUGAAUACUUGUUUUCGGCGAUAUAAUGUCGGAGGCAAAGCGAAAGCGAUAAGUAUUCCACCUGGGGAGUACGCCGGCAACGGUGAAACUCAAAUGAAUUGACGGGG